AAAAAAGUAAGCUAAAUUGGUAAGCUAGCGGGCUCAUACCCCACUUAUAAAGGUCAUCCUCCUUUUUAA
This 69-nucleotide transfer RNA is filed under the name Phaneroptera nigroantennata. RNAcentral describes it as "tRNA-Met". The record is from RNAcentral. Lineage: Eukaryota; Metazoa; Arthropoda; Insecta; Orthoptera; Tettigoniidae.